UACGUAGGGGGCAAGCGUUAUCCGAAUUUACUGGGUGUAAAGGGAGCGUAGACGGCCAGACAAGUCUGAAGUGAAAAUCCAGCGCUUAACGUUGGAAGUGCUUUGGAAACUGCCGGGCUAGAGUGCAGGAGGGGCAGGCGGAAUUCCUAGUGUAGCGGUGAAAUGCGUAGAUAUUAGGAGGAACACCAGUGGCGAAGGCGGCUUACUGGACUGUAACUGACGUUGAGGCUCGAAAGCGUGGGGAGCAAACAGG
This 253-nucleotide ribosomal RNA is filed under the name uncultured bacterium. RNAcentral describes it as "partial 16S ribosomal RNA". It matches the Rfam family "Bacterial small subunit ribosomal RNA", at positions 524 to 776 of the family's 1533-position model. The record is from RNAcentral.